This 403-nucleotide ribosomal RNA is filed under the name uncultured bacterium. RNAcentral's name for it is "bacterial SSU rRNA". It matches the Rfam family "Bacterial small subunit ribosomal RNA", at positions 355 to 774 of the family's 1533-position model. The record is from RNAcentral.
UGGGGGAUAUUGCACAAUGGGGGAAACCCUGAUGCAGCGACGCCGCGUGUAGGAAGACGGUCCUCUGGAUUGUAAACUACUGUCUUCGGGGACGAUAAUGACGGUACCCGAGGAGGAAGCUCCGGCUAACUACGUGCCAGCAGCCGCGGUAAUACGUAGGGAGCGAGCGUUGUCCGGAUUUAUUGGGUUUAAAGGGUGCGUAGGCGGCUUAUUAAGUUAGAGGUGAAAGACUAAGGCUCAACCUUGGAAUUGCCUCUGAUACUGGUAAGCUAGAGUUCAGAUGAAGAAGGCGGAAUGUGUGGUGUAGCGGUGAAAUGCUUAGAUAUCACGAAGAACUCCUAUUGCGAAGGUAGCUUACUAAGCUAUAACUGACAUUGAUGCUCGAAAGUGUGGGUAUCAAACA